Diceros bicornis minor is the source of this 3590-nucleotide long non-coding RNA. RefSeq lists it as uncharacterized. The transcript has 3 exons. Lineage: Eukaryota; Metazoa; Chordata; Mammalia; Perissodactyla; Rhinocerotidae. The record is from RefSeq and is a predicted model, not a curated record.
CAGGUGUCAAAGACAUCAUCACAGACUGAAGGAGCCUGGAUCCUGCCUCACUGCUGGGAGGAGUUGCCUUCCUGGGGGAGGCCCCUGGACCAGCAUCGUCCACUUGGACUUCAGGGCCAGGGCCUCUCACACCCACCUGAGCCCACACCCCACCUUGCGCCCUUGUUCCAGUGUGGAGUCAGGUUCCUCAUGCAUCUGCUAUGGGGCCCGAGUUCCUGUAACUCCCCAUCGAUGCUGCUGCCGCUGGUCACCACUUUGAGCAGCAAGGAUGUAGAAGAGAGAGCGGCUUGGAUUUGGACCCAGCUUUUCUGACCUCAUAGCUCGGCACUCAACCCCCAGGCAGAGCACUUGGAGCUGCUCAAGUCCAGAUGGGGCAGUCUAGGCGACUUCCUGGAAGAGGGGCUGGGAUUCUCUCUGACCCCAGGAGUCUGGGUGUACAUGGCUCAGCAUGAAACAGCCUCCUGAGAAAUGUUGCCUCCAGAAGGCUCUUCCGAGAGCAAACUCUGAGGAGCUCGCAGACCGACCCGGGGUGCACAGUCAUUUGUUCCUGAUUGAGCAAAAUGUCACAGGUCACCGUGGGACCAUGUUUAAUGCACACGCCUGUCUGCUUCCCUCUCCUCUCACAGCCUGUGACUCUCCAAGCUUCCCCUCUGCCUCCCGGCUUCUCCCGUCCCUCUGCAGAGCCCCUUUAUUUCUGCCCCCUCCCUGCCCUCCCUUCUGUACUUCCCUUCUCCUCCCUCCCUCUCUCUUCCCUCUGGUAUUUUUGAUUCUGCUUUGUGCCCUGUGUGUUCUAGGCUCCGACGAAACAACAGCGGUGAGAUGGACACAGCCCUGCCCCACCCUGGGGCCUCCAGCCUGUCAAGGAAGACAACAGAGGGAGGUGACGACGGUGGACCUACGCCCGCGCUCUGGAGACUUGUCCUCUCACAGGACCGUGGUGGGGAGAGUGGCACAAAAAUCAGCAAUGACAAUCCAGAGACACUCCCAGGGUGCAGUGAAAGUGCAAAGUGGGAGGGGUGACUAACCCUGGGUAUCACAGAGGGCUUGGGGACACUUGAGCCGAGUGUUCAGAUGAAUGGGUGUAAGUAGGAGAAGGCAGUGCCAGGGCACAGCAUGUCAUGAGGACCCUCUUCCAAGGUUGUAGUUAUUGAUUGAAUGAAUGAAUGAAUGAAUGAAUCUAAUCAAGACCCUUCUUUUGGCAGCAGAGCUGGAUCUAAUGCCCUCCUGGCCCUAUCAGAGCCGGGUAAGCUCUGACACCUGCCCAGGUAGCCCUCUGCCCAGGCAGCCCUCUGUAUCUCUGCGAGACAAAGACAUUUCUCCUGAUGCCAGAGGCCUCCCAGGGGCUUUGGAGCCUCAUCUGUCCCAAGAGUCUCCUGCUUAGGAUCCUGGAAGCCCUAGGUGCCCCCAGCCCUGGGUUUCUCUGUCCGUGGGUUUGCUCUCAGCUUCCAAGAAGCAGCAGAGUCGUGGAGAAGGACAUAAACCUUGUCUCUGCCCUUUAGCAGCUGUGUGACCUGGAGCAAGUCACCACACCUCUCUGAGCCUCAGUGCUCUCCUCUGGAAACUACGGCUGACUGUAUUGAUGCCCACCAGUAAUUUGUUAUAGUGAUCCCAGUUCUGGUAGAUUGAUGGCGAAAAUGCCCCAGUGCCCACCCCCCGGUACCCACACUCUGUGACUCACGGUGGGCUUCUUCCCUAUCUUCUGUGUAUGAGCCAUCUGGUGACUUAGCUUUGGCUGAUAGAUAGGCCACAUGCGAGGUUGUGCCGAUUCUAAGCCUAUGUCUCAAGGGGCCGUGCGUGCUUAUGCUCACACUCUUGCAAAUCGGAAACCUCCAUUUGAACAAGCCGAGGCCCACCUGCUGCAGGACCAAAGGCCACACGAGGCCCCCAAAUAUGUGAGGAAGCCAGCCAACACCAGCAAAGCCAGCCCACAGAUGAGCCGCCAGCCGACUGCACAAGCCCGAGGGAGCCUGGCCAAACCAGAGGAGCCGUGCAGCUGGCCAGAAGACUCGGGCACUAAAUAAACAGCGCUUGACCUAAGCCAGCAGCCUGUGUGGUUGUGAUCCACCAUCGCUGUGGGAAUGCACGACAGGAACACACCCCACAGGGCUGCGGUGAAGAUGAAACAAGUUUGUAGAUAUAAAGGGCUUGGGAGCCUCUGCCUGGCACCCAGGAAGCUCUAAAUGGCAUUAGCUGUUGUUAUUACCCGCGGGCUGUCCGGUCCUCAGGUGGAGCCUGUUCUUGUCACCAAAAUCAAGGUCUGGAUGGACAGUACCCUCAGUGCUUGUAACGUCAUCACCAGCCCGGACACCAUGGUGCUGCUACUUGGUGGCUGUGUGACCUUGGGGAAGUGUCUUCACCUCUCUGAAUUUGCAUUUGCUCAUUUGCAAAGUGGGUACCAGGAUGGCAACCUGGCAGAGUUGCUGGGAGCCGCCGUCUGCUCUGCAGUCACCCAAGUUGAGCUGGCCCAUGUUCCUGCUCCUGGAAACACUGGCGGAGGACGUGAAAUGGAUGGAUGUGGGAGCCCACCGUGAGGGGCACCAUUUAAGGGACUGCGCGGGGAAGGAGAGGGACACAGGCCUGAUGACUCUCGGUCCCGUAAGGCCUGGCUGUAUGCUAUGUCCUUUCCCCAGACCCGCUUUACUGAGCUGGGUGUCUGGGUCUCUCUUGUUCAUGUCUAAAUGGCCCUGGCUGGCCUUUCCUUUCUCACCUGAUGAGAGAGCCAGCUGGUCAUUACAGCUGCCCAGGCGUGUCUCACAGGCUCCGGCCCCCCCGAGACAUUAGGGAAAUAGCUGUCCCCUCAAAUUCCUGGGGGACAGGGACUUCAUUGUUCUUAUUUAUCCUCAUACCCCCUCACGGAACACAGUGCCAGGCACUUGGUUGGUGCUCAGUAAGCACGUGUCAAAUGACUGAACGAACGUCACGCAGAUGUGGACGCUCAUCAUUCCCAUCUCCUCCUCCUCGGGGAGUCGUCCUGCUCCCUCCAAGCUGAAGCAAACACUCCCACCUUCAGACAGUACUGUUCCGACACCUCCCUCCAUCAUGGCUCACCUUGCUGUGGACUGGGGGUUAAUCUGGAAACAUGGAUGUGAUCACCUCAACCCUGCUUCCUGCACUUUGCCCCCCACUUAAAACACUCCACUGGUGCCCCUGCUGUUGGGAUGAAGAUCCCAAUCCAGAAAGUGGCAUUCAAGGUCCUCACAGCAUCUUGUUUCUGUCCCUCUCCAGGCUGCCACCCACCUCCUGCCCUCCAACCACACAGGCCUUGGAGUUCUUCCCGGUUGCCAAGAGCCCUCCAGCCAUUGGGCCUUUGCACAUGCUGUUUCCUGGUCUGAAGACUCUUCCUCAGCCCCCAAGCUCACCUGAUAACUGGUUUAUUCUUCAGAUCACAGCUGGAGGGUCACCUCCUUGGGUAAAACCUGAAAAUACCCCCUUACACACUUUCAUAGCACCCUGAGCCUCUCAUUUAGAGCACUUGCAAUUUUACACUUCUUUGUUAUUCUAGAUUUCUCUCUAUCUCUCCCUCUAGACUGUAGGCAGGGACCUUGAUGGUUUUGCUUACCUUUGACUCUCCUAACACAGUGGCUGUCACA